CCUACGGGAGGCUGCAGUGGGGAAUAUUGGGCAAUGGGCGCAAGCCUGACCCAGCAAUGCCGCGUGAAGGAAGAAGGCUUUCGGGUUGUAAACUUCUUUGACAGGGGAAGAGCAGAAGACGGUACCCUGAAAACAAGCCACGGCUAACUACGUGCCAGCAGCCGCGGUAAUACGUAGGUGGCAAGCGUUGUCCGGAUUUACUGGGUGUAAAGGGCGUGUAGCCGGGAAGGCAAGUCAGAUGUGAAAUCUGGAGGCUCAACCUCCAAAUUGCAUUUGAAACUGUUUUUCUUGAGUACUGGAGAGGCAGACGGAAUUCCUUGUGUAGCGGUGAAAUGCGUAGAUAUAAGGAGGAACACCAGUGGCGAAGGCGGUCUGCUGGACAGCAACUGACGCUGAGGCACGAAGGCCAGGGGAGCGAAAGGGAUUAGAUACCCCUGUAGUC
RNAcentral lists this ribosomal RNA (442 nucleotides) under uncultured bacterium. RNAcentral describes it as "partial 16S ribosomal RNA". It matches the Rfam family "Bacterial small subunit ribosomal RNA", at positions 338 to 795 of the family's 1533-position model. The record is from RNAcentral.